UACGUAGGGGGCAAGCGUUAUCCGGAUUUACUGGGUGUAAAGGGAGCGUAGGCGGCGAUGCAAGUCAGAAGUGAAAGCCCGGGGCUCAACCGCGGGACUGCUUUUGAAACUGCGUUGCUGGAUUACAGGAGAGGUAAGCGGAAUUCCUAGUGUAGCGGUGAAAUGCGUAGAUAUUAGGAGGAACACCAGUGGCGAAGGCGGCUUACUGGACUGUUAAUGACGCUGAGGCUCGAAAGCGUGGGGAGCAAAC
This 250-nucleotide ribosomal RNA is filed under the name uncultured prokaryote. RNAcentral describes it as "partial 16S ribosomal RNA". It matches the Rfam family "Bacterial small subunit ribosomal RNA", at positions 524 to 773 of the family's 1533-position model. The record is from RNAcentral.